GAGGAAAAGGAAACAAAAGGCGUUCAGUCCGACCUUGUCUCUUUGAUAUGCUCUGUUCUUUUUUUUUCUUUACUAUAAUUAGUUUUAAAAAGGGAGGGAGGGAAGAAGAUGUGUGUUUUGUUUGGGUGAACGUCCUACUUAACCCGCUCCGCCGUCUCCGAUCGCACUAGUCGCGGUGUAGGCACAAGUAAUGCGCGCCGCAGGUUAGAGUGGUGCCCAGCUGCUUUUCAAACUUCACGCGACUAAUAAGAAAACAUGGCAUCAAUCAUUUAGAGACGGGACUGCGAAGACUGCGACUCGGUAGACGGUCCAAAGGAGUGAAAUCAAUUGGAUUACAACACUGCAUAUACUGUGAAUAUGAAGGAGAUGGGAACAAAUGUGCUUUUGGGUAGAGGUGUUGUCUUUGGAAGCAUUUAGCACCCAGACAGGUUGAUCCGGUCCCAAGGGCUUGGCACAACUCCAGCAAUGUGGCAGUAGCUGGUGUGGCUGAACGACAAAACAUCAUGGCUCAUAUAGUAUGUAAGCAUAGGAAAAUUGCAGAGAAACUGACCAAUGAAGGGCAACUGACUCCAGUCCCUGGAGCAUACAAGUAUGACUAUCUUGAAUGAGACAGCACUUCUUUCCUGAGCGACCAAUACGAAGGAGCUCCUCAAUUAUCCAACAGCAGAUGAAAUAGCCUUUGUUAUUCUAUCUACGUUAUUCUGGUGGUAAUAGGUUUUAAUUUUUCAUGCCAUUGAGUGUUGUUUUUGUUUACACCUUUAAGUAAAUGGGGAUGGCUGGGUUGGCACCCCAAAAUUUA
Long non-coding RNA from Polypterus senegalus (gray bichir), 799 nucleotides. RefSeq lists it as uncharacterized. The record is from RefSeq and is a predicted model, not a curated record. The transcript is spliced from 2 exons. Lineage: Eukaryota; Metazoa; Chordata; Cladistia; Polypteriformes; Polypteridae.